CGUUUAGGGGUAAACCUGAGAAACCCGAAAGGUCGAAAGGAGAAAUUCAUUCGCGUUUCGAUGUAGGCGUUGAGCGGUGCGUGUGACGAAAUAGUUUCGAUUAUUUCGCGCCCUCCGUUUUUCGAACUUGCAACGAACGCGUGCACUUUUCUCCUAGUAGGACGUCGCGAUCCGUUGGGUGUCGGUUUACGAAUGUUGCGAUGGAGCCCGUUUGUAGCAUUUUCGGAUGUUUUUACUUACGAACUCGUACAUUCUAACCGACUCGCUCGACGGUAUGAUUGAAAGGUUUUGAGCCGCUGCUUGUUUGGCGUUCGACUCGUGGCAAGCGCGCUAGUCUGGUUGGCUAUCGGACCUAGUGCCGAUACUGAUCCCUAGUGACUGUUGGCUGCGAUGUUCUCGAACAGACUCUUAACCGAUCUGCGACGCUAUAGCUUUGGGUAAUUUCAGGACCCGUCUUGAAACACGGACCAAGGAGUCUAGCAUGUACGCGAGUCAUUGGGAAUUAUUAAACCUAAAGGCGUAAUGAAAGUAAAGAUCUUUCUUCACGAGAGAUCGAGGGAAGAUGACGAAUCCUACGGGGUUUGUUCGCAUUCCCGGAGCGUCUCAUUCUCAUUGCGAGAGGAGGCGCACCAAGAGCGUACACGCUGGGACCC
This 653-nucleotide ribosomal RNA is filed under the name Scolytodes inusitatus. RNAcentral describes it as "eukaryotic LSU rRNA". It matches the Rfam family "Eukaryotic large subunit ribosomal RNA", at positions 406 to 817 of the family's 3401-position model. The record is from RNAcentral. Lineage: Eukaryota; Metazoa; Arthropoda; Insecta; Coleoptera; Curculionidae.